RNAcentral lists this transfer RNA (73 nucleotides) under Camelus dromedarius (Arabian camel). It matches the Rfam family "tRNA". From Rfam's summary of the family: Transfer RNA (tRNA) molecules are approximately 80 nucleotides in length. Their secondary structure includes four short double-helical elements and three loops (D, anti-codon, and T loops). Further hydrogen bonds mediate the characteristic L-shaped molecular structure. tRNAs have two regions of fundamental functional importance: the anti-codon, which is responsible for specific mRNA codon recognition, and the 3' end, to which the tRNAs corresponding amino acid is attached (by aminoacyl-tRNA synthetases). tRNAs cope with the degeneracy of the genetic code in two manners: having more than one tRNA (with a specific anti-codon) for a particular amino acid; and 'wobble' base-pairing, i.e. permitting non-standard base-pairing at the 3rd anti-codon position. The record is from Rfam by way of RNAcentral. RNAcentral also lists the same sequence under 2 other names. Lineage: Eukaryota; Metazoa; Chordata; Mammalia; Artiodactyla; Camelidae.
GAGGGUAUAGCUCAAGUGGUAGGACACAUGCUUAGCAUGCAUGAGGUCCUGGGUUCAAUCCCCAGUACCUCCU